Long non-coding RNA from Gordionus sp. m RMFG-2023, 257 nucleotides. RefSeq lists it as uncharacterized. The transcript has 3 exons. Lineage: Eukaryota; Metazoa; Nematomorpha; Gordioida; Chordodea; Parachordodidae. The record is from RefSeq and is a predicted model, not a curated record.
CAAUAUCCUAUACCCAGAAUUAAUGUAUUAUUAGCCACACUAGCACUAGAUGAGGAGGCGAAAAAGCUGUUAAUCAUCAAUACGCCAAGUAUAUUGUAUCGUUUCACACGACUUUCGUUUGGGAUAGCUUCAGCGCCAUCCAUUUUUCAACAAGCAAUGGAUUCGUUAUUAGAAGGAACCUUGGAUAGCGAAGCACCAUUUUUGGCCCAUUAUAAUCCCAAAAAGCCGAUAAUUCUCUGCUGAUGCGUUGCAACAUG